CCUACGGGGGGCAGCAGUGAGGAAUAUUGGUCAAUGGGCGGGAGCCUGAACCAGCCAAGCCGCGUGAGGGAAGAAGGUACAGCGUAUCGUAAACCUCUUUUGUCAGGGAACAAAGGCGGGGACUAGUCCCCGGAUGAGGGUACCUGAAGAAAAAGCAUCGGCUAACUCCGUGCCAGCAGCCGCGGUAAUACGGAGGAUGCGAGCGUUAUCCGGAUUUAUGGGGUUUAAAGGGUGCGAAGGCGGCCUGUUAAGUCAGCGGUAAAAGCCCGGGGCUCAACCCCGGAGAGCCGUUGAAACUGGCGGGCUGGAGUUGGAGAGAGGUACGCGGAAUGCGCGGUGUAGCGGUGAAAUGCUUAGAUAUCGCGCAGAACCCCGAUUGCGAAGGCAGCGUACCGGCUCCACACUGACGCUGAGGCACGAAAGCGUGGGUAUCGAACAGGAUUAGAUACCCCGGUAGUC
RNAcentral lists this ribosomal RNA (459 nucleotides) under uncultured bacterium. RNAcentral describes it as "partial 16S ribosomal RNA". It matches the Rfam family "Bacterial small subunit ribosomal RNA", at positions 338 to 795 of the family's 1533-position model. The record is from RNAcentral.